RNAcentral lists this transfer RNA (77 nucleotides) under Clostridia bacterium. Its description in RNAcentral is "tRNA-Arg". It matches the Rfam family "tRNA". Rfam says of the family: Transfer RNA (tRNA) molecules are approximately 80 nucleotides in length. Their secondary structure includes four short double-helical elements and three loops (D, anti-codon, and T loops). Further hydrogen bonds mediate the characteristic L-shaped molecular structure. tRNAs have two regions of fundamental functional importance: the anti-codon, which is responsible for specific mRNA codon recognition, and the 3' end, to which the tRNAs corresponding amino acid is attached (by aminoacyl-tRNA synthetases). tRNAs cope with the degeneracy of the genetic code in two manners: having more than one tRNA (with a specific anti-codon) for a particular amino acid; and 'wobble' base-pairing, i.e. permitting non-standard base-pairing at the 3rd anti-codon position. Lineage: Bacteria; Bacillati; Bacillota; Clostridia. The record is from RNAcentral.
GCGCCUGUAGCUCAGCUGGAUAGAGCAUCUGCCUUCUAAGCAGAGGGCCAGGGGUUCGAAUCCCUUCAGGCGCGCCA